AGUGAACGCUGGCGGUAGGCCUAACACAUGCAAGUCGAACGGCAGCACAGUAAGAGCUUGCUCUUACGGGUGGCGAGUGGCGGACGGGUGAGGAAUACAUCGGAAUCUACUUUUUCGUGGGGGAUAACGUAGGGAAACUUACGCUAAUACCGCAUACGACCUACGGGUGAAAGCAGGGGAUCUUCGGACCUUGCGCGAUUGAAUGAGCCGAUGUCAGAUUAGCUAGUUGGCGGGGUAAGGGCCCACCAAGGCGACGAUCCGUAGCUGGUCUGAGAGGAUGAUCAGCCACACUGGAACUGAGACACGGUCCAGACUCCUACGGGAGGCAGCAGUGGGGAAUAUUGGACAAUGGGCGCAAGCCUGAUCCAGCCAUACCGCGUGGGUGAAGAAGGCCUUCGGGCUGUAAAGCCCUUUUGUUGGGAAAGAAAAGCAGCAGGUUUAUACCCCGCUGUUCUGACGGUACCCAAAGAAUAAGCACCGGCUAACUUCGUG
Molecule: ribosomal RNA, 492 nt
Filed under: uncultured bacterium
Lineage: Bacteria
Description: partial 16S ribosomal RNA
Rfam family: Bacterial small subunit ribosomal RNA
Source: RNAcentral